Long non-coding RNA from Apis florea (little honeybee), 1131 nucleotides. Lineage: Eukaryota; Metazoa; Arthropoda; Insecta; Hymenoptera; Apidae. The record is from RefSeq and is a predicted model, not a curated record.
AUUUCGAUUAUCGAAUCGUACGAUGUCAGCCAAUCAGAAAGCUUCUAAGAAAAUUUUGGCGGGCCAGGGAGUCAGUCUUCUGUGGAAAGUGCUAGUGAGAGGACGUGUUGUCGCAGCCGGCUUCGAAAAUUCUACGACGCAAUUAUUGGUAUAAUUUGAAAGGCGGGAAAAAUUUCAAUAUGGACGCCAUCGUACUUUUUCAAGAAGUUUGAUAUUUCGUUUGCGUACUGUAUGUAUUUAUUCUGUUUUUAUUCGAUCGUUUUUAUGAUAUAUUUUAUCAUUUCAAAGUAUAAUAUAAUGAACAUUCACCAUAAAUAUUAUUAAUAAUAUUGUAUUUGUAUAUAUAAUCUAUUUUCUUGUAUAUGAAAUUUUCUUAUUCAUAAAAAAAUUGAUAAUAAUCAAUUCUUAGUUUCAAUAAAAAUGGCAAUUUUUUUCUGAAACAAAUGUUUGAUAGAAAGAAGAAGAAAAAAUAUUUUGUUUCUUUUUCUAUAUAUUUCCCCCUAUUACUAAUACAGCUUUAUUUCCAGACAAUUAUUGCGAUCGCGCGCAAUGCGAUCGGUAGAUUCAGUGUUUGCUUCGUAAUAGUUUUUUAAUAUUCUAGAGCACAAUAGCUCUAAUUAAAUUUAUUUAUUAAAGUCGGGAAAUUAGAGUCAGUGUUUGUUCGCCGAUUGUAAAUGAAAUGGACGCGUUAGUUUUUUAUUUUUAUUUUUUUAUUUUUAAUAUUCGUUUGCGGUACAGGGUAGAGUCAGUGCUUCUCGAAGAAAUAAGGCAGUCAUCCAUCACGCGAAGAGAUGCCUGACUUUGCCAGUGUUUAUGAACAUUUUUACUGGACUUCAAUUUUAAAAAAUAUUUGUGACCGCGUGCAAUGCGGUCUGUAGAAUCAGUGCUUAUUCCGUAACAGUUUUUUUUAAAUAUUUUAAUGCACAAUAACUCUAAUUAUCAUAAUUAUUCGCGAAACUAGAGUCAGUGCUUGUUCGUCGCCUAUGUUUUAAAUCGACGCGAUGGUAGUUUUUUAUUUUUUAUUUUAUUUUUUUAAAUAUUCGUUUUCGGUACAGGAUAGAGUCAGUGUUUCUCGAAGGAAUAGGGCAAUCAUCCACCACGCGAAGAGUUUCCAUUUCUUGAUGAUGAUGA